This 388-nucleotide ribosomal RNA is filed under the name uncultured bacterium. Its description in RNAcentral is "bacterial SSU rRNA". It matches the Rfam family "Bacterial small subunit ribosomal RNA", at positions 28 to 408 of the family's 1533-position model. The record is from RNAcentral.
GACGAACGCUGGCGGCGUGCUUAACACAUGCAAGUCGAGCGGGAUCCAACCGGUGGCAACACCGGGGAAGAUCUAGCGGCGAACGGGUGAGUAACACGUGAGCAACCUGCCCCGAAGACUGGGAUAACACCGGGAAACCGGUGCUAAUACCGGAUGUCGUCAUUAGGCCGCAUGACCUGAUGAUGAAAGGAUUCAUCGCUUCGGGAGGGGCUCGCGGGCUAUCAGCUUGNGGUGGGGUAACGGCCUACCAAGGCGACGACGGCUAGCUGGUCUGAGAGGACGACCAGCCACACUGGGACUGAGACACGGCCCAGACCCCUACGGGAGGCAGCAGUGGGGAAUCUUGCGCAAUGGGCGAAAGCCUGACGCAGCAACGCCGCGUGGGGGA